AUUGAACGCUGGCAGCAGGCUUAACACAUGCAAGUCGAGCGGGGUGAUGGUGCUUGCACUAUCACUUAGCGGCGGACGGGUGAGUAAUGCUUAGGAAUCUGCCUAUUAGUGGGGGACAACAUCUCGAAAGGGAUGCUAAUACCGCAUACGUCCUACGGGAGAAAGCAGGGGAUCACUUGUGACCUUGCGCUAAUAGAUGAGCCUAAGUCGGAUUAGCUAGUUGGUGGGGUAAAGGCCUACCAAGGCGACGAUCUGUAGCGGGUCUGAGAGGAAGAUCCGCCACACUGGGACUGAGACACGGCCCAGACUCCUACGGGAGGCAGCAGUGGGGAAGAUUGGACAAUGGGGGGAACCCUGAUCCAGCCAUGCCGCGUGUGUGAAGAAGGCCUUAUGGUUGUAAAGCACUUUAAGCGAGGAGGAGGCUCUUUUGGUUAAUACCCAAGAUGAGUGGACGUUACUCGCAGAAUAAGCACCGGUUAACUCUGUGCCAGCCGCCGCGGUAA
This 503-nucleotide ribosomal RNA is filed under the name uncultured bacterium. RNAcentral describes it as "partial 16S ribosomal RNA". It matches the Rfam family "Bacterial small subunit ribosomal RNA", at positions 30 to 523 of the family's 1533-position model. The record is from RNAcentral.